GUGCAGCAGUCGCGAAUCCUCCGCAAUGCGCGAAGCGCGACGGGGUUACCCCGAGUGCCGUCCGCUGAGGACGGCUUUGCCCAGUGUAGCCAGCUGGGCGAAUAAGGAGAGGGCAAGUCUGGUGUCAGCCGCCGCGGUAAUACCAGCUCUCCGAGUGGUGGGGACGCUUAUUGGGCCUAAAGCAUCCGUAGCCGGUCUGGCAAGUCCCUUGUUAAAUCCAACGAUUCAAUCGUUGGACUGCAAGGGAUACUGCCAGACGUAGGGGGCGGGAGAGGCCGACGGUAUUCCCGGGGUAGGGUGAAAUCCUAUAAUCCCGGGAGGACCACC
RNAcentral lists this ribosomal RNA (327 nucleotides) under uncultured microorganism. RNAcentral's name for it is "bacterial SSU rRNA". It matches the Rfam family "Archaeal small subunit ribosomal RNA", at positions 330 to 661 of the family's 1478-position model. The record is from RNAcentral.